Molecule: long non-coding RNA, 501 nt
Filed under: Nicotiana benthamiana
Lineage: Eukaryota; Viridiplantae; Streptophyta; Magnoliopsida; Solanales; Solanaceae
Description: long non-coding RNA (NBEN_LNC005706)
Source: RNAcentral
ACAACAUCAAUGAUAGAAGACAAAAUUGGAAUACUGUAAACAUUAUUGCUAAAAUGAUGAAAGAACAGACCUUUUGCUGCCGAACUUUUAGAGCAGAUACGAUGAAAUACAAAAUCUAGAACAUCAAUCCUCAAGCAAGCUACAUACUAUAAACCCGGACCGAAAUCGGCAUCCCCGAACAGACACAUCUCUAUUAGGUUUGGAUAAACGUUUUUAUGUUGUUUUCAUACUGGGUUGGGGUUGAUUUCAAGUCUGUUUUUAGUCUUUCGUAUCCUCCAGAUCUUGUCCCCAUCUAUUUUUAUUUUAUUAUGUGGGUGUAUAUAUAAAUGUGUGUGUGAGAGAAUUGUACAUUACAGUGAAGAAGAGAGUGAAGGGGAAUUUAGUUCAUUGAGCUUUAGCUUUAAGAAUUUUGGAAUUAUGUUCUACUUAGGGUCGUUUUUUUCGUAGGAACGGCUAGCCUUUUGUGAAGAAGGGUGUAGGAACUUUUUUAUGGUUUUAGCU